UGCCUUAGUAACGGCGAGUGAAGCGGCAAAAGCUCAAAUUUGAAAUCGAACCCCCGUUCGAGUUGUAAUUUGUAGAAGUAACUUUUGUGUUUAGACCUGGCGGAAGUUCCUUGGAACAGGACGCCGUAGAGGGUGAGAGCCCCGUUCUACCAGAGUCGAUGCCUUGUAAAGUGCUUUCAAAGAGUCGAGUUGUUUGGGAAUGCAGCUCUAAGUGGGUGGUAAAUUCCAUCUAAAGCUAAAUAUUGGCGAGAGACCGAUAGCGAACAAGUACAGUGAUGGAAAGAUGAAAAGAACUUUGAAAAGAGAGUGAAAAAGUACGUGAAAUUGCUGAAAGGGAAGGGCUUGAAAUCAGACUUGGCUUGUAGUGAUCAUCCGUCCUUUGGGGCGGUGCACUCGCUGCUUGCUAGGCCAGCAUGGGUUUGGGGGGAGUCAUAAGAGCCUUGGAAUGUGGCUUGGCUAGGUCUCCUAGCUGAGUGUUAUAGCCCUGGUUGAUAGCUCCACCCCGGAUCGAGGACUGCUGUCUUAUAGGAUGCUGGCGUAAUGAUUUUAAGCCGCCCGUCUUGAAACACGGACCAAGGAGUCUAACGUCUAUGCGAGUGUUUGGGUGUAAAACCCGUACGCGUAAUGAAAGUGAACGAAGAUGAGAGCCGCAAGGUGCAUCAUUGACCGAUCCUGAUCUUCUGGGAUGGAUUUGAGUAAGAGCAUAGCUGUUGGGACCCGAAAGAUGGUGAACUAUGCCUGAAUAGGGUGAAGCCAGAGGAAACUCUGGUGGAGGCUCGUAGCGGUUCUGACGUGCAAAUCGAUCGUCAAAUUUGGGUAUAGGGGCGAAAGAC
This 833-nucleotide ribosomal RNA is filed under the name Groenewaldozyma salmanticensis. RNAcentral describes it as "LSU rRNA". It matches the Rfam family "Eukaryotic large subunit ribosomal RNA", at positions 76 to 931 of the family's 3401-position model. The record is from RNAcentral. Lineage: Eukaryota; Fungi; Ascomycota; Dipodascomycetes; Dipodascales; Trichomonascaceae.